AUGUCCAAGAAGCUUACAUCAAGGAUUCAAGUUACGGAUCAAGUUCUUAUUCUCUUUUCACAUCAAUCCUUGCUUGCUUCUUGUAAGAAUGCUAUAGUUGCACGCUAGCUAAAUACACGUUCUUGGAACGACACUACGGAAUCACGUUAAGCUAGCUUUGCACAGGAAUUUCAAGGACCACGGAACAGGGGGUAGAUCUAUCGGGUACGG
This 210-nucleotide long non-coding RNA is filed under the name Helianthus annuus (common sunflower). RNAcentral describes it as "sRNA HanXRQr2_Chr07g0287551". The record is from RNAcentral. Lineage: Eukaryota; Viridiplantae; Streptophyta; Magnoliopsida; Asterales; Asteraceae.